This 256-nucleotide ribosomal RNA is filed under the name uncultured bacterium. RNAcentral describes it as "partial 16S ribosomal RNA". It matches the Rfam family "Bacterial small subunit ribosomal RNA", at positions 524 to 777 of the family's 1533-position model. The record is from RNAcentral.
UACAGAGGGUGCGAGCGUUAAUCGGAAUUACUGGGCGUAAAGCGUGCGCAGGCGGUUUUGUAAGUCUGUCGUGAAAUCCCCGGGCUCAACCUGGGAAUUGCGAUGGAGACUGCAAGGCUAGAAUCUGGCAGAGGGGGGGGUAGAAUUCCACGUGUAGCAGUGAAAUGCGUAGAGAUGUGGAGGAACACCGAUGGCGAAGGCAGCCCCCUGGGUCAAGAUUGACGCUCAUGCACGAAAGCGUGGGGAGCAAACGAGG